Molecule: long non-coding RNA, 400 nt
Filed under: Rattus norvegicus (Norway rat)
Lineage: Eukaryota; Metazoa; Chordata; Mammalia; Rodentia; Muridae
Description: long non-coding RNA NONRATT004040
Source: RNAcentral
UCAUGAGAACCUUCUAAUUAAUGAAUUAAUUAGGGAGUAUUUGGAAUUCAACAAAUAUAAAUACACAGCCUCUGUCCUCAUAGCAGAUGACCACCUGAAGAAGGACACAGGGCCAAGAACCAUGACUGAAGAGCUUCAUGCUGCUGCACAGGCAGUCAUUAGAUGAUGUGUACACCAGGCUCUUCACCUCGGCUGUGUGUGGAGUAACUAACUUAUUCCCAGUGCCAUCAAUUAGACCACCACUGUCUGUAAAUGUUUGAAUGUCUACAAACAUUCAGCCACUCGUGGUUUACUGCAUCUGUAGAAUACUGAUCUGUCAUCUAGUUUGCUGGAUGCCACUGGGGGAAAUUUAUUGUUUUCAGGAUGUAUUUUUAAAGUUCUCAUUUGUGAAAUCUGAAAG